Odontomachus brunneus is the source of this 3587-nucleotide long non-coding RNA. RefSeq lists it as uncharacterized. The transcript has 2 exons. NCBI's taxonomy places the organism in Eukaryota, Metazoa, Arthropoda, Insecta, Hymenoptera, Formicidae. The record is from RefSeq and is a predicted model, not a curated record.
GCUAAUUUUUACACAAAUUCUGAAAUGACGGAUAUUCAUUUUAUGUAUGGCAGAGCAAAGGGCAAUGCUUCAAAAGCAGCACGCUUGUAUCAUGCAGCUUAUCCGAAUCGCCGACAGCCAAGUAGAAGAAUGUUUAGUAAAAUUCAUCAACGCAAUGGAUGGAAAGCACAUUGAACAUUUAUUGAUGGUCAGAGAGUUUGAUAUCUCGGGCCGAAAUGCAAAUGCCAUCACUGUCAUCCGCUGAAUCGUCUUCUGAGAACUUUGUGAUCUACGUUACAUAUUAAAGCUCAUGUAUGCGCGUGAUCGCGUGUGAUCGUUGCAUUGUGUAAUCCAUCGUAUGACGCAUUUGACGCGUGAAAAUAUGUAAGAAUUGUUUUACGGGACGGCGCCGUAGGAUGCUUAACACGUUGAGUGUUGUACUAAUUACAAGAAAGCUCAACUGACAAUUAAAUUACUGAAAAUAAGGCGAUUAAGUAUAACAUGAGAUCAGAGUUGGAGGUAAGGCGUAACUUGUCAUUACAUAUUAGUUUCUUUCAAUAAUAAUUUUAUUUCUUUAAAUAAGCUCUUUUUCUUAACGAAUUUAUUUUGUCUAGUUAGUUACGCUAACACAAUUACAUUUUUGGGCAAUGAUAAUGAAUACAAUACAUGGUCUUUUAAAAUAUAGCCGUUACUAUCUCUCUAUCGUCAUUUUUUACAUAUAGAACACAUAUAUAUAGGAUGGACAGCAAGGAAUAAGAAAAAAAAAGUUUUCACUUUUGAACUUAUCAAAUCAAAACUUGAUAAAAAAGCAUUUUUUUAAUGUAGACAUAAUUAAUCACGUAUAAUGAUAUGUGGUCACAUAUAGAGAGACAAAUUUUAUAUUAUUGUAUAAUUUUAUUAUAAUAAUAUAAUAACAAGAAAAUUAGAUUAAAAAUGAGAGUUGUAUGUCACGUUAAUUUUAUGAUUAUUUAUUGAUUGUUAGAGCAAAAGAAAAUGUUUGAAAUGUUUUAGAAAUGUGUUUAAUCGAUUGUGUCAUUUUGUGGAUUUAUCUUUCUAUCUCGACGUAUCUUGCAAGAGUUUUUAACAUACGUUUCCUCGCUUUUAGCGUUAUUAAAAAAAAUAUGGAUGAUACGAGUAUUCAGAAGUUAUCUUAAAACAGAUAAAAAUUAUUAUUUUUAUUGGUGGAAAACAAUUUUAUAAUAAUUUAAUGCACAAUUAUCAAAAGGAAUAUUUUUAUCCGAAACUUAACAGAAACUUAAUAAAAACUCAACAAAAUCAAGUAAAAAUCAGAAAAUCAAGUUUAGAAUUUAUAAAUUAGAAUUUAUAAAUUUUAGAAAUGUGCUUAAUCAAUUGUGUCAUUUUGUGAAUUUAUCUUUCUAUUUCAACAUAUUUGGUAAGAGUUUUUAACAUACGUUUCUUCGCUUUUAGCAUUAUUAAAAAUAAUAUAAUAUAAUAAUUAUGAUAUAUUAUAAUAUUAUAAUAUAAUAUUAUAGUAUAUUAUAUUAUAAUUAUUAUAUUAUAAUAAUAUAAUAUAUAUAAUUAUUAUAUAAUCGUUCUUUUUCCUAUUAGUUACUUCUGAAAUGAGAAUGACAAUAUCGAAUUACUUUGCCAAUUAAAUAAUGGUAACAGUAACAAGUUACUUCUUUCAAUAGAUAACAAGUAAUAAUAUAUUGCUUUGAAAAAGUAACUUUCCCAACCUUGCUUAAAAUGCAUAUGUCUCUUAUCUCCUUACAUCAACUCUACUGACAGCCAAUCAUUAAGGCCCGUAUUAAUAGAGUUAUUAUAUAGUUAGAUAGUUAAUAUAGUUAUUACUUGAAACUCUCCCUCCCCCCCUCUCUCUCUCUCUCUUCUUUCAAAAAUAAGAUACUCAGAUUUAAAUUCAAAGUAGAUGAGAGUUUUUCAAUAGAGAAAAUCAUGGUUUAGUUAAUAAAGUCACAGACGUAAAUAUCAUAUAUAUCAUAAUUCUACUGAAAAAUUAGGAUUUAGUGCUGAAAAAAUGUUUAAGAGUCUCUGCUUAAAAUAAAUAUAUAUAUUUAAUAAAAUUUAACAGAAGAAAAAAAUCUAUAUAACUGAGUCGUGUUUUGGUAAAAAAUGAUAAAAUUACAUAAAAAGAUAUUUGUAUUCAAAUCAAUAUUUAAUCGUUUAACAUAAUAUUUAAUCAGUAUGAAUAAGUAAAAAUUGGUAAUUUUUUUACAUGAGCUGAAGUGUAAGAAGUUUAAACUCCCGAUAAAAGUAAUAAAUUCAAUUAAAGUCAUAUAUCAUUCCAAUGAAAUUUUUACAUAUUUCUAUCAGUUCUUAUCAGAUUUCUUAAGCAAGGAUCUCACUUGAGACAAGUUUCAACUAUCAAAAUAUGGGCCUUAGACGCAAUCAAUUACAUUCUACACGCAACUCAAUGAUACACGGCAGCAUCGUAAUGCCGGUCACCGACGAUGAACUUCGCGGAAAUCUGAAUGUGUCCACAGUAACGGGACGAUUGUCGGACGGAAGUUCUCAGAAAGACGCUUCAGAGGAGACUUAGAUUAGUGAGCGUUUUUCAGACUUGAUGCAUCGAACGUGAAUAUUCAUGGACCGUCGAUACAUUUCUCUCGUCCUCCGCGCGAUUCAGCAGGUUCGCCCUUCUCCCUCUCUCCCUUUCUCUCUCAUUCUUCACAUUCAUCUGUAACUUAAUUAUUCUUAUAUACAUGACCCUGAAAGAGCUGUCCGUUACAGGCAUGAUACGCCGAUCGUCAACAAGAUAUCGAUACAGUCGAUAUCGAAGUAUUAAAGUGCACUUGCUCCGAUACUUCGAACUUUCUCAGUCGCGAAGCGGACUAAGACUAAGCGAAAGUGUCUCAAGUACCGUACGCAAGUUUCAGUGAAUGCGUGCGAGCUAAUGAUGCGGUACUUGGUGCGUGCGAGGAUCAAAGGGAGCUAAUCGACAAAUCAGUAGCGAAAACUCUAAUCGCUCGCGCUUCAUUCCUCCACGUUCCACUUAAAAGAUGCGCCGAAUAUGCGAUUGUUUGCGUUGCGCUCUCGACUCAACUAAAAUACAACGAAAGUGAUUGCGAGAAGCAUUACGUGAAGACCUGGGAAAAAACAUGAUUAUAUAUAAUUAUAAAAAAGCAUGUGUAUAUAUAUCUCUCCAUAUACACACUUAUAUUUUAUCUACGUACUGUACACACUGGGGUCCUGAGGACCCCAUCUAUAUUUGUAUUGUAAUUCUAUCAAAACUUGACAUAUUUUAAUUUAUUUUUUUUUAACCUAUAGAGAAUUGAUUAAGGAGCAAGCCUAUAAUGAAUAAAAGUCGACAGGAUUAAAGAGUUCCGAGAUAUACGGGUUAAAAGAGAAAAGAAACGCGAAGAAACCAAUUCGAGAAAGUUGCACUGGGAUCCCAGGGAUUCCAGUAUAUAUACGGAGAAAUAUAUAUGUGUGUGUGUGUGUGUGUGUGUGUGUGUGUGUGUGUGUGUGUGUGUGUAUAAUUAUAUAUUACAUAUAUAUUUUUUUUCUUUUUAUAUUUAUACAUGAUUCCUCUCAUAUAUGAAUUUUGUUUCUAUGUGGCCACAUAAAAUCAAAUUUAUAACUAUGUACAGAGUGUUUCAAAGUAGGCAGUCUUCUAGUAGUGUAUAGGU